UACGAAGGGGGCUAGCGUUGUUCGGAAUCACUGGGCGUAAAGGGCGCGUAGGCGGCGCGACAAGUCAGGCGUGAAAGCCCCGGGCUCAACCCGGGAAUUGCGCUUGAUACUGUCGUGCUUGAGGCCGGGAGAGGAUGGCGGAAUUCCCAGUGUAGAGGUGAAAUUCGUAGAUAUUGGGAAGAACACCGGUGGCGAAGGCGGCCAUCUGGACCGGUUCUGACGCUGAGGCGCGAAAGCGUGGGGAGCAAACAGGAUUAGAUACCCUGGUAGUCCACGCCGUAAACGAUGAGUGCUAGACGUCGGGGGGUUCACCCUCCGGUGUCGCAGCUAACGCUUUAAGCACUCCGCCUGGGGAGUACGGUCGCAAGAUUAAA
This 374-nucleotide ribosomal RNA is filed under the name uncultured bacterium. Its description in RNAcentral is "bacterial SSU rRNA". It matches the Rfam family "Bacterial small subunit ribosomal RNA", at positions 524 to 898 of the family's 1533-position model. The record is from RNAcentral.